AGCCCUUCGGGGUGGAUUAGUGGCGAACGGGUGAGUAACACGUGGGCAAUCUGCCCUUCACUCUGGGACAAGCCCUGGAAACGGGGUCUAAUACCGGAUAUGAGCCUGGGAGGCAUCUCCCGGGUUGUAAAGCUCCGGCGGUGAAGGAUGAGCCCGCGGCCUAUCAGCUUGUUGGUGAGGUAAUGGCUCACCAAGGCGACGACGGGUAGCCGGCCUGAGAGGGCGACCGGCCACACUGGGACUGAGACACGGCCCAGACUCCUACGGGAGGCAGCAGUGGGGAAUAUUGCACAAUGGGCGCAAGCCUGAUGCAGCGACGCCGCGUGAGGGAUGACGGCCUUCGGGUUGUAAACCUCUUUCAGCAGGGAAGAAGCGCAAGUGACGGUACCUGCAGAAGAAGCGCCGGCUAACUACGUGCCAGCAGCCGCGGUAAUACGUAGGGCGCAAGCGUUGUCCGGAAUUAUUGGGCGUAAAGAGCUCGUAGGCGGCUUGUCACGUCGGGUGUGAAAGCCCGGGGCUUAACCCCGGGUCUGCAUUCGAUACGGGCUGGCUAGAGUGUGGUAGGGGAGAUCGGAAUUCCUGGUGUAGCGGUGAAAUGCGCAGAUAUCAGGAGGAACACCGGUGGCGAAGGCGGAUCUCUGGGCCAUUACUGACGCUGAGGAGCGAAAGCGUGGGGAGCGAACAGGAUUAGAUACCCUGGUAGUCCACGCCGUAAACGGUGGGAACUAGGUGUUGGCGACAUUCCACGUCGUCGGUGCCGCAGCUAACGCAUUAAGUUCCCCGCCUGGGGAGUACGGCCGCA
This 802-nucleotide ribosomal RNA is filed under the name Actinomycetes bacterium. RNAcentral's name for it is "bacterial SSU rRNA". It matches the Rfam family "Bacterial small subunit ribosomal RNA", at positions 74 to 890 of the family's 1533-position model. The record is from RNAcentral. Lineage: Bacteria; Bacillati; Actinomycetota; Actinomycetes.